GGAGGUCAGGAGUUGAGAAUAGGUGUCACUGUGCGAAAAUCCUGGUAUCCACAAGGCUGGAUCCUUCUUGACACUUUAGGAGAGAGGUCCUAUUCUUGUCUUUUCCCAGUGUUUACAGACAAUUUGGGAUCCAAGGUUUAUGGAUUUUUUUUCUCCAUCUUCAAAGCCAGCAGAGUAGUAUCUCCCCUCCUCUCUGAGUAACUCUUCCAUCCUUUCAUUUUUCAUCUCUCACUCUGAAACUGCUCACAAGGACUCGCGUGAGUACAUUGGACCCACCCAGAUAACAAUCCAGAACAACCCCUUAUUCCAGACCCGCAGUGUCACUUUGACUGUGCACAGUAAGGUGUUCAGAGGUUCCAGAGAUCAGGAAGUGGACAGGAGCAUUCUGAGAAUGGGGAAGAGUCCUCGCCCAGCCACUGGGCAGCCUGGGCCAUAGUGCAAGGAAAGAAGGCCAGGUGGAAAUCAGGAAGAGCGUGGCAUGAAAGAGGAUGCAAGUAGUCAGAACUCACUGAUGGCUCAGAGAGAGCCUCAGGUUAAGAGAACUGUUUAUCCCAGUGACAGCAAGGAAGCACUGUCUGAUUUGUAUUUUUACAGACAACUGGCUGAGGGAAGAAGUGAUUGUCUUGCAGCAAUAGAAAUGGAGGAGUAAACAAGGAUUACGCCAUACAUCACCAGGGAAGUUUGAGAAUUUGAAGUGGUAAAAUGUACCCAAUGUAAAGCAUCACUUCACCAUGAUAUAUACUGUAUGUGGAACAGAGCAGCUGCAUAUGACAAAAAAAAAUGAAAGGAAACUGUUUCCAUGGGAUAACCAUGCUUCCCGUCCAUCGAUACCUCUAAAAUUUAAAACUUCUGUUAUAACCAUGAUAUCUGCCACGUUUGUGCCUCGGUUGGUAGGAAGCACGAAAGAGACCACCAUCCUCUGAAAUGGUCAAGGCGGUGUGCAGCUCGAAGCUCUUCAUCACUUUCCUGAGGUGGUUCAUGCAUAAAACGAGAGAAUCCACCCCAACUAUCUCUGGCACAUGGAAGAACUAGCCAAAGAGAAUUAAGUGAUAAAAUACGUAAAUCUACUUCUCUAAAAGAAUCUACUAGAUGAAACAAACACACAGUUGGGUACUGGAGUGAGCCUGAAAGAAUGUUGCUUGGAUGAGAUCCAUCUCUGACCACGAUGGUGCUGGUGGCUUGGGACACAGGAUAUGGGGAGAUGAGUCAUUUGGAGAAGAGCAGGGUAUGAAAACAUUGACCCUUCACCGCCCCAUACAGAGAAAGACAAGAAUCUUUGACUCAAAGGAUACAAACAUAGUCCUAAGAUCAAAUUCAGGAUAAAAUUGAGUUUUUACAAAAACUACUCUUCCUUGCUUACUUUACAAUUAGCAGUUUUGACGAAGAAAACAGUAAUGUAUCCAUUUAGAGAGGGCAUCCUCUUCUUAAAGUCUUCUGUUUGUGUCAUGGCCCAAAGUCUUGUAUGACCUGGCAUCUUCACAUUCUGGCUUAUGAGCCUAUGGUUGAUUCUUCUCUCACAAUGUUGAAAUGUGGGACUUUCUUUUUUUUUUUUUUUUUUUUUUUUUUUUGGUACCAGGGAUCGAACUCUGGACCUUGUGCUUUCAAGGCAGGUGCGGUGCCACUGAGCUAAAUCCCCGGCCCCCAUAUGAGCCCAUGGUUAACC
Fukomys damarensis (Damara mole-rat) is the source of this 1663-nucleotide long non-coding RNA. Lineage: Eukaryota; Metazoa; Chordata; Mammalia; Rodentia; Bathyergidae. The record is from Ensembl.